UACGUAGGGUGCAAGCGUUAAUCGGAAUUACUGGGCGUAAAGCGUGCGCAGGCGGUUGUGCAAGACCGAUGUGAAAUCCCCGGGCUUAACCUGGGAAUGGCAUUGGUGACUGCACGGCUAGAGUGUGUCAGAGGGGGGUAGAAUUCCACGUGUAGCAGUGAAAUGCGUAGAGAUGUGGAGGAAUACCGAUGGCGAAGGCAGCCCCCUGGGAUAACACUCACGCUCAUGCACGAAAGCGUGGGGAGCAAACAGG
Molecule: ribosomal RNA, 253 nt
Filed under: uncultured bacterium
Lineage: Bacteria
Description: partial 16S ribosomal RNA
Rfam family: Bacterial small subunit ribosomal RNA
Source: RNAcentral